RNA transcript from Homo sapiens (human), 4778 nucleotides. It is a transcript of the gene named zinc finger protein 468, with no coding region annotated. The transcript has 6 exons. The record is from RefSeq and is marked validated. Lineage: Eukaryota; Metazoa; Chordata; Mammalia; Primates; Hominidae.
AGACCAGGAAGUGGAUCCCGUGGAAUGACGGUCACGCCGCGGCGGGCGGAUUGACUUCUAAAGACUGUUGGUACGUGAGAAAGAAACCCAGAAGAGGAAGAGGAAAGCAAAGGAGUCAGGGAUGGCUCUUCCUCAGUCCCUCUCAUCUCGCUUAGGUUCCGUCUCUCGUGACCCAGUGUCAUGAACUUGGGAAGAGGCUGCACUGGGCAGGUCCUGGGAAGGGCUCACACCCCGACAUGGAUGGACACGGGGUGAGGGUCCUGUGGUGUCAGUGCUCUUGGGCAGCAGGGAUUGUUCAGGGGCCACAUCUGGAUGCACUGUCAGCUCACUGUGGACCAGGAUUGGAGCAGCUGCCAAUGGGAGUCACGUAUUAAUAUGCACGAAGUACGUGGGUCUAUUGACAUUCAGGGACGUGGCCAUAGAAUUCUCUCAGGAGGAGUGGAAAUGCCUGGACCCUGCUCAGAGGACUUUAUACAGGGACGUGAUGCUGGAGAAUUAUAGGAACCUCGUCUCCCUGGAGUUUUGGUCUGUCAUCCCGGCUAAAGUACAGUGGUGUCAUCUCCGCUCACUGCAACCUCCACUUCCCAGGUUCAAGCAAUUCUCCUGCCUCAGCCUUCCAAGUACCUGGGACUACAGAUAUCUCUUCCAAAUGCAUGUUGAAGACGUUGUCGUCAACAGGGCAAGGCAAUACAGAAGUGAUCCACACAGGGACAUUGCACAGACAAGCAAGUCAUCACAUUGGAGAAUUUUGUUUCCAUGAAAUUGAGAAAGACAUUCAUGGCUUCGAGUUUCAGUGGAAAGAAGAUGAAACAAAUGGCCAUGCAGCACCCAUGACAGAAAUCAAAGAGUUGGCUGGUAGUACAGGCCAACAUGAUCAAAGGCAUGCUGGAAACAAGCGUAUUAAAGAUCAGCUUGGAUCAAGCUUUCAUUUGCAUCUGCCUGAACCGCACAUAUUUCAGUCUGAAGGGAAAAUUGGUAAUCAAGUUGAGAAGUCUAUCAACAAUGCUUCCUCAGUUUCAACAUCCCAAAGAAUUUGUUGUAGGCCCAAAACCCAUAUUUCUAAUAAGUAUGGAAAUAAUUCCCUCCAUUCUUCAUUACUCACACAAAAAUGGGAAGUACACAUGAGAGAAAAAUCUUUUGAAUGUAUACAGAGCUUCAAAUCCUUUAAUUGCAGCUCACUCUUAAAAAAACAUCAGAUAAUUCACUUAGAAGAGAAACAAUGUAAAUGUGAUGUAUGUGGCAAGGUCUUUAAUCAGAAGCGAUACCUUGCCUGCCAUCGUAGAUGUCACACUGGUGAGAAACCUUACAAGUGUAAUGAGUGUGGCAAGACCUUUGGUCAUAAUUCAUCCCUCUUCAUUCACAAAGCGCUUCAUACUGGAGAGAAACCUUAUGAAUGUGAAGAAUGUGACAAAGUUUUCAGUCGCAAAUCACACCUUGAAAGACAUAAGAGGAUUCAUACUGGAGAGAAACCAUACAAAUGUAAGGUUUGUGAUGAGGCUUUCGCAUAUAAUUCAUAUCUGGCAAAACAUACUAUACUUCACACUGGAGAGAAACCUUACACAUGUAAUGAAUGUGGCAAAGUUUUUAAUCGACUAUCAACCCUUGCACGCCAUCAUAGACUUCAUACUGGAGAGAAACCUUACAAAUGUGAAGAGUGUGACAAAGUUUUCAGUCGCAAAUCACACCUUGAAAGACAUAGGAGGAUUCAUAGUGGAGAGAAACCUUACAAAUGUGAAGAAUGUUGCAAAGUUUUCAGUCGCAAAUCAAACCUGGAAAGACACAGGAGGAUUCAUACUGGAGAGAAACCAUACAAAUGUAAGGUUUGUGACAAGGCUUUCCAGAGGGAUUCACACCUGGCACAACAUCAGAGAGUUCAUACUGGAGAGAAACCUUACAAGUGUAAUGAGUGUGGCAAGACCUUCGGUCAGACAUCAUCGCUUAUAAUCCAUCGUAGGCUUCAUACUGGAGAGAAACCUUACAAGUGUAAUGAGUGUGGCAAGACCUUCAGUCAGAUGUCAUCCCUUGUAUACCAUCAUAGGCUUCAUAGUGGAGAGAAGCCUUAAUAGUGUAAUGAGUGUGGCAAGACCUUCCAUCACAAUUCAACCCUGUAAGUCAUAAGGCAAUUCAUACUGGAGAGAAACCUUACAAGCAUAAUGAAUGUGGCAAGGUUUUUAAUCAAAAAGCAACCUUUGCACAUCACCAUAGACUUCAUACUGGAGAGAAACCUUACAAAUGGGAGGAAUGUGACAAAAGUUUUCAGUUGUAAAUCAAACCUUAAAACACAUAAGAAAAUUCACAUUGAAGAGAAACCAUACAGAGGUAAGGUUUGUGACAAGGUUUUUGCAUAUAAUGCAUAUCUGGCAAAACAUACUAGAAUUCACACUGGAGAGAAACUCAUUAUAAGUGUAAUGAGUGUGGCAAGACCGUUGGUCAAAAUUCACACCUUGUAAUUAAAAGGUCAAAAUUCACACCUUGUAAUUCAUAGUGGAGAGAAACCUUACAAGCACAAUGAAUGUGACAUGGUUUUUAAUCAACAAUCACACCUUGCAAGUCAUCAUAGACUUCAUACUGCAUAGAAAUCUUACAAACGUGAACAAUGUGACAAAGUUUUCAUUCACAAAUCCAGCUUCAAAUACAUAGGAGAAUUCACACUGGAGAAAAGCCAUAGAAAUGUAAGGUUUGUGACAAGGCUUUCGGGAAUGAUUCACACGUGGCACCCCAUACUAGAAUUCACACUGGAGAGAAACCUUACAAGUGCAAUGAGUGUGGCAAACCCUUUAGUGGGCAGUCACCACUUAUUCACCAUCAAGCAAUCCAUGGUAUAGGGAAACUUGACUAAUGUAAUGAUUGUCACAAAGUUUUCAGUAAUGCUACAACCAUUGCACAUCAUUGGAGAAUCCACAGUGAAGAGAUCUUACAAGUGUAAUAAAUGUGGCAAAUUUUUCAGACAUCGUUCAUGCCUUGCAUUUCACUGGUGAACUCAUGCUGGAGAGAAACCUUAUAAAUGUCAUGAUUGAGGCAAGGUCUUCAGUCAAGCUUCAUCCUAUGCAAAACAUAGGAGGAUUCAUACAGGAGAGAAACCUCACAAGUGUGAUGAUUGUGGCAAAGCGUUUACUUCACAUUCACACCUCAUUAGACAUCAGAGAAUCCAUGCUGGACAGAAAUCUUACAAAUGUCAUCAGUGUGGAAGGGUCUUCAGUCCAAGGUCACUCCUUGCAGACCAUCAGACAAUUCCUUUUGGAGACAGUUGUUUCAAAUGCAGUGAGUAUAGCAAACCAUCAAGCAUUAAUUGACAUUAGAGUCAAAUCAGCCUUGACCUGAGUUUGUUGAUUUAACAUUGAUUUCAAGCAUUAAUUGCCAUUAAACUGUUUAUGUUAAGAGGAUUGCACUGGGGGCCAUGGCUCAUGCCUGUAAUUCCAGCACUUUGAGAGGCAAAGACAGGUAGGUCACUGGAGCUCACGAGUUUGAGAACAGCCUAGCCAACAGAUGGGAGCUACUUUUCCCAGCCUUUAUUUUCUUUUUCUUGUUUUUUUUUUGAGAUGGAGUCUUGCUCUGUCGCCCAGGUUGGAGUGCAGUGGCACGAUCUCAGCUCACUGCAACCUCCUCCUCCCAGGUUCAAGCAAUUCUCCUGCCUCAGUCUCCCAAGUAGCUGACACUACAGUUGUGUGCCACCACACCUGGGUAAUUUUUUGUGUUUUUAGUAGAGACUGGGUUUCACCGUGUUAGCCAGAAUGGUCUCUAUCUUCUGACUUUAUGAUCCACCCGACUCCACCUCCCAAAGUGCUGAGAUUACAGGAGUGAGCCACUGUGCCUGGCCUGUUUUUUGUUUCUUUAACAAAAAGUUAUAGAGACUUCUAUGAGUAUUGUACCGAAUCUAAAUCACAAUUGAGUAUAUAAUCAUUGAGCGAUAUUCAUUUUUCCAAUCAGUAUGGGAUUUAUAUCUAUUUAUACAUGUUUUUAAUCAUUUUGAUCAAUGUUUAUAGAUUUCAAGGUACAAACCUCACUUUUUAUGUUUAUUCCUAAAUAUUUCUUACUUUAAGUUCUUUAGCAAAUGGAAUUGGUUUUUAAUUUUCUUUUAAAAUUAUUUAUUGUUAAUGUAUGGAAAUUCAACUAAUUUUUGGUGCUGUUAUUCUAUUCUGCAAAUAAACUGAAUGUGUUUGUUAGUUCCAGUUGCAUUUUGGCUGACUCUUUGUGAUUUUCUUUACAGAAGGUCAUGUCAUCUACAAACAAAUAAAAUUUGACUUCUUUCUUUCUGAUUUGGAUGAGUUUGAUUUCUUUUGCUAUUUCAUUGUUCUGGCUAGGACAGCCAGUAUUGAUUGAAUAGAAGGGGUGAGAGCAUUCUUGCAUCAUGUGAGAUCCUACAGGAAAAGCAUUCCGUUUUCCCUGAUUGGUUAUUUCUGCUGUGGUCAUUUCAUGGAUGGUCUUUGUAUUGCUGAGGUAAAUUUUCUUCUGUAUCUAUUUUGUGUGGGAUUUCUAUGAUGACUUGAUGUUGACUUUUGUGAAAUGCUUUUUCUCCAUGUAUUGAGAUGAUGUGGUUUUCAUCUUUCAUUGUGUUCAAGUGGUAUAUCACAUUGAUUUGCUUGACUAUGUUGAACCAUCCUUGCAUCCCAGAAAUAAGUGGCACUUGCAUAUCUACAAUCCUUUUAAUAUCCUCUUGAAUACAGUUCGCUAGUACAAGGGGUCUUCAAGAAGUUCAUGAAAAAAAUACAUAUUAUGUGAAAAUUGCACAUGAUGUCACAUUUUCUGCACCAAAAUAAACUGGCACAAAUCUGUUAUAA